This 253-nucleotide ribosomal RNA is filed under the name uncultured bacterium. RNAcentral describes it as "partial 16S ribosomal RNA". It matches the Rfam family "Bacterial small subunit ribosomal RNA", at positions 524 to 776 of the family's 1533-position model. The record is from RNAcentral.
UACAUGGGGUGCAAACGUUGCUCGGAAUUAUUGGGCGUAAAGCGCACGUAGGCGGUUCGUUAAGUCGGAUGUGAAAGCCCUCGGCUCAACUGAGGAAGUGCACCCGAAACUGGCGAGCUUGAGUACGAAAGAGGAUCGUGGAAUUCCUGGUGUAGCGGUGAAAUGCGUAGAUAUCAGGAGGAACACCGGUGGUGUAAACGGCUUUCUGGACCAUAACUGACGCUGAGGCACGAAAGCGUGGGUAGCAAACAGG